UGCAUGUCUAAGUAUAAGCAAUUAUACAGCGAAACUGCGAAUGGCUCAUUAUAUAAGUUAUCGUUUAUUUGAUAGUACCUUACUACUUGGAUAACCGUGGUAAUUCUAGAGCUAAUACAUGCUAAAAAUCCCGACUUCGGAAGGGAUGUAUUUAUUAGAUACAAAACCAAUGCCCCUCGGGGCUCUCUGGUGAUUCAUGAUAACUCGUCGAAUCGCACGGCCUUGCGCCGGCGAUGGUUCAUUCAAAUUUCUUCCCUAUCAACUUUCGAUGUUUGGGUAGUGGCCAAACAUGGUGGCAACGGGUAACGGAGGGUUAGGGCUCGACCCCGGAGAAGGAGCCUGAGAAACGGCUACUACAUCCAAGGAAGGCAGCAGGCGCGCAAAUUACCCAAUCCCGAUACGGGGAGGUAGUGACAAUAAAUACUGAUACAGGGCUCUUUUGGGUCUUGUAAUUGGAAUGAGUACAAUUUAAAUCCCUUAACGAGGAACAAUUGGAGGGCAAGUCUGGUGCCAGCAGCCGCGGUAAUUCCAGCUCCAAUAGCGUAUAUUAAAGUUGUUGUGGUUAAAAAGCUCGUAGUUGAAUCUUGGGCCUGGCUGGCCGGUCCGCCUCACCGCGUGUACUGGUCCGGCCGGGUCUUUCACUCUGCGGAACCACAUGCCCUUCAGUGGGUGUGGCGGGGAAGCAGGACUUUUACUUUGAAAAAAUUAGAGUGCUCUAAGCAGGCCAAUGCUCGAAUACAUUAGCAUGGAAUAAUAAAAUAGGACGCGCGGUUCUAUUUUGUUGGUUUCUAGGACCGCCGUAAUGAUGAAUAGGGACAGUCGGGGGCAUCAGUAUUCAGUUGUCAGAGGUGAAAUUCUUGGAUCUACUGAAGACUAACUACUGCGAAAGCAUUUGCCAAGGAUGUUUUCAUUAAUCAGGAACGAAAGUUAGGGGAUCGAAGACGAUCAGAUACCGUCGUAGUCUUAACCAUAAACUAUGCCGACUAGGGAUCGGACGAUGUUAUUUAGUUGACUCGUUCGGCACCUUACGAAAAAUCAAAGGGCUUGGGCUCCAGGGGGAGUAUGGUCGCAAGGCUGAAACUUAAAGGAAAUUGACGGAAG
Molecule: ribosomal RNA, 1101 nt
Filed under: Metarhizium anisopliae
Lineage: Eukaryota; Fungi; Ascomycota; Sordariomycetes; Hypocreales; Clavicipitaceae
Description: SSU rRNA
Rfam family: Eukaryotic small subunit ribosomal RNA
Source: RNAcentral